CACCACUCCAGCCUGGCUGGGUAUUGGGCGUCGCGGCUCCGCGCGCCUCAAAGUCUUCCGGCUGAGCUGUCCGUCUCUAAGCGUUGUGGCAACUAUUCGCUUCGGAGGUCGGGCGGCUACGGCCGUUAAAUCUUUCACCA
Molecule: unclassified non-coding RNA, 140 nt
Filed under: uncultured Ascomycota
Lineage: Eukaryota; Fungi; Ascomycota
Description: sequence contains ITS2
Source: RNAcentral